Long non-coding RNA from Pan troglodytes (chimpanzee), 4174 nucleotides. RefSeq lists it as uncharacterized. NCBI's taxonomy places the organism in Eukaryota, Metazoa, Chordata, Mammalia, Primates, Hominidae. The transcript is spliced from 4 exons. The record is from RefSeq and is a predicted model, not a curated record.
UCCUCCUAAACAAGCCAAAUGUCCAGGAAUGGAUAGACUCCACAGUAAGAUUUUGUGAUUUUGGUGUCUAAAGCUGUCUUCAUUUUUUUUUUUUUAUUCCACCUCGUCCACCCACUCCAGCCAGCUGAAAUUCCCUGUUCCAAAAGUAUGGACAGAAGAUGUCAGGAACGUGUGAGAACUCCCCCAGACGGUCUUUUGGAGUCACCCUGCCCUCCCAGACAAUUUUGGUGCUGGCUGCCUCCAGGAACCUGACUCUCUCAGUCUCUUACUGUUUCGCUCCGUGGGUCAAGUCUCUGCAAAGCCUUCACGCUGAGCCUUGCCUUGCAGGCAGCCUUUGUGAGGCAGUCAUCAUGGCUCAGCUAACUGCAGCAGGAAGAGGCAGACAUGGAGCUAAAAGCACAGCAGCUGGGAUUCCAGGAAAGCAGGAAGUUCUGCAGUUAGCAUCAGCAGCAUUAGAACAGACUCAUACAAACCCCCGUCUCUGAGAAGUCCAGUCCUAGAAGGACCGAGUUACUGGGGCAAGACUCAUAUGGAGCAGGGUGAAGAACAACACUUUGCUGCAACAAUCCAGUGAGAAGGCAAUCAUCUGUAAAGCAGGAAGAGAGCCUUCCCCAGGAGCUGAAUCUGCCAGCAUCUUGAUCUUGGACUUCCCAGCCUCCAGAACCACCAGAGAGAAAUGCCUGUUGUCUGAACCACCGAGGUCACUUUGCAUAGACGAGAAGAACUUGAGGCUGAGCCUUUACCUAUGGUCUGUUGGAACCUAAGGAAGCCAGUUCAUUUCUCCCAAUCUCAAUGUCCUCAUCUGUAAAAGUAGGGAAAUUAUACUGGGCUUGCUGGGUUGGUUUGUGUGUGUAUGUGUGAACUAUAAAUACUUGAAAACGACUACCCCUUUCAGAAAGGGUUACUACUGCUAUUACUGUUAUCUGUGCCUUUAUGUAUGUAUAACUGAUCUGUCUCCUCUACUAGGCUAUGCAUUUGAGAGCAAGAAUUGUGUCUGUAUUGCUAACAGCAAUUCCAGCGCCUAACAAAGAGGAGGUGCUGUGGAGGCCAAAGCAACUCCAACUUGCAUGCUAAUCCAUCACUUUAACUUCUGAUUAACCUUGUUCUAGGAAGUCCUCUAAGAUUUCCAGUUUAUUUGAUGUUUCUUGUGUGAGAGUAGGUACCUACUGUAAAUCCUGCCCUGAGGUCAAAACAACCUUGAUGUUAUAGGACUUCAAUUGUUCUACACAAACAUUUUGAAUCACAUAUACCCUUUCCCAGUAUUAUAUAAGCCCUGCUCAUGAGAAUAAAUGGUGCAGGAUCCACCAUCUUGCCUCACCGCUGCCUGAGACACAGACAUGGCUUCUGUUUGUAAGUCCCUAUUAAGUGUAUAUUUCUGAGGAACCGGAUAUGUCAGCCUUUUUCUUCAGCCUCUCAGCUUCCUUGGACUUUUGGGGUAGGUUUGCCGAGGCCUGGCCCCCAUGGAACAGGUGCUCCAUCAAGGAGUAAGUGCUGAGCAUUUAGAUUCAGGUGAGGGGCAGCAGCCACCAGGAAAGAAGAGUCUAUGCAUAAUUACCUGCCCUACUUCCUGAGUCAGGGGUUCUCAAAUUCUUUGUGUUCAGGACACAUUUGAAGAGCCGGCACAUUCAGACAACAGUGACUCAGCAAUCAUUGCACUUAAUCCCUACUACUGAAGAACAACAUCUCAUAAUGUCUACAAAAGCAACCACUAUGAUCCCACCAUUUACUGGGAUGGCUUCAGCACUGCAGUUAGAAGGUGGAACGCUGACUGCCCGAAUGUCCUUCCUCUAAUAUACACAAGAAGAAUUCUCACCUGUCUAGUUAACCACUAUAUUUAUUGGUCCCUGGCUUGACAACAUACCUCUUACCUCCUCACAGCACUACAUAGUGUGUUGGCAUGCAGUCAUGUUUCAGGCAGGCACUUCAAAUUUGCCCUUGGAAUUCCAGGAUUUUGCUUUUGCAGUUUCUAAUUGUCAGCAAUCCUGAAGGCCCUUGACAUGUGGUCAUUUGUAAUUUUGCUGAGAUGUAAUUUUUUUUUUUUUUUUUUGAGACAGAGUCUCGCUCUGUCGUCCAGGCUGGAGUGCAGUGGCGUGAUCUCAGCUCACUGCAAUCUCCGCCUCCCGGGUUCAAGCAAUUCUCCUGCCUCAGCCUCCUGAGUAGCUGAGAUUACAGGCACAUGCCACCACGCCCAGCUAAUUUUUGUAUUUUUACUACAGAUGAGGUUUCACCAUGUUGGUAAGGCUGGUCUCGAACUCCUAACGUCAUGAUCCACCCACCUUGGCCUCCCAAAGUGCUGGGAUUACAGGCAUGAGCCACUGUGCCCGGCCUGAGAUGUCAAUUUUUAAAAAUUAGUUUAUAAGUAAUACAUAAGUAUAUGUAUCCAAAAUGUCUAUACAAUAAAAAAAUAUGGAAGAAAACCUGUGGAAGUUUUCCUUAUUGGUACCAGUCACAGUAGGCCAUGUUAUACUACAGUAACAAAUGUGUCCAAACCUCAGUAACUUUAUUCAUUUAUUUAUUUAUUUGUCCUGUAUUGUGCAGGCUGGUCUUAAACUUCUGGCCUUAAUCAAUCCUCCUACCUCAGCCUCCCAAAGUGCUGGGAUUACAGGUGUGAGGUUUUUUUCUUGUUCACACUACAUGUUUUUCUAUUUUUAUUUUUCUUUUUAAAAAUUAUUUAUUUAUUUAUUUUGAGACAGCGUCUGGCUCUUUCGCCCAAGCUGGAGUGCAGUGGAGCGAUCUUGGCUCACUGCAAACUCUGCCUCUUGGGUUCAAGCAAUUCUCCUACCUCAGCAUCCCGAGUAGCUGGGAUUACAGGUGCACACCACCAUGCCCAGCAAAUUUUUGUAUUUUAGUAGAGACAGGGUUUCACCAUGUUGGCAGGGCUGGCCUCAAACUCCUGACCUCAGGUGACCUGCCUACCUCUGCCUCCCAAAGUGCUGGGAUUACAGGCAUUAGCCACUGCACCCAGCCUUUAUUAAUUUUUUAUUUUUUAUUUGAGAUGGAGUCUUGUUCUGUUGCUCAGGCUGGAGUGCAGUGGCACAAUCUCAGCUCACUGCAACCUCCGCCUCCCGGGUUCAAGCGAUCCUCCCACCUCAGCCUCACAAGUAGCUGGGGUUACAGGCACAUGCCACCAUACCUAGCUAAUUUUUGUACUUUUAGUAGAUACAGGGUUUCACCAUGUUGGCCAGGCUGGUCUCAAACUCCUGACCUCAAGUGAUCUGCCCACCUUGGCCUCCUACAGUGCAGGGAUUACAGGCCUGAGCCACGGCGCCUGGCCAUGCAUGUUUUUCAUGAGUCCACUACAGCUCUGCUUUUUACCAUCUUGACUCCAGAACCAAAACUGAUGGAAGAACCUAACCUCUAUCUGAAAUAUCACCAAUCUCGUGGCAGAAGGAAAAAGACAAGGCAAAGGGUGCCCUAACUUCUAAAACUUUGCACAAAAAUGACCAACAUCAGUUAUUGGCCAAAGCAAGUAAUAUGGUCAUUCCUGAGGUCAACAGUGUGGGAAAAUAGCCUCCUGCAGAGAGGGGCACUGCAGGGCAAGAAACUGGAAUAUUUGGUAACGGAGAAUACCAUCGUCCAGCACCUCCUCCAACAACUACUUCUCUCCCAGAAGCAACUGUUCUAGACAGUUCAGUGUGCAUCCUUUCAGUCUCCUUUCCUAUAUAUUUGCUGACAUAUCUCUACAGGCGUACACAUAAAUGUCGAAUUUUGCACGUAUUUUUCUGCAACUUGCUCUGUUCACUUAAUAUGCUUUGGAGACCUUUCAUCUCAGUAUGCAUAAGUCUACCCGACUCUCUCUAACAAUAGCAUGGUAUUUCAUACCAUAAUAUAUUUAAAUUCUUGGUAUACAUUUUGGAUCUUUUCAAUAUGUUUUGAUAUUACAAAUAAUGCUGCAAUAUGUAUUCAUAUAGAUGCACAUAUCUUUGUGAAUAUAUGUAUUUCGGAAUGAUAGGUUUCUAGAAAUAAGUUGUUAAAGUAUGUAUGCAUUGCAGUUUUUAAUAGAUACUAGCAAUUUGCCUUGAAAAAUGCCUUCAUCAAUGUUCACAGCCAGUAGAAAAAUAAAAGUGCCUGAUUUCCCAAAUCUUCAACAACUCAAUAUUAUCAAUUUUUUUCUCUUCUGUAUAUCUGAUGGAUUUUAAGAGGGUAAUUCAUUGUUUGAAUAUACUUAAUAUGU